This 478-nucleotide ribosomal RNA is filed under the name uncultured bacterium. RNAcentral's name for it is "partial 16S ribosomal RNA". It matches the Rfam family "Bacterial small subunit ribosomal RNA", at positions 28 to 523 of the family's 1533-position model. The record is from RNAcentral.
GACGAACGCUGGCGGCGUGCUUAACACAUGCAAGUCGAACGGUAAGGCCCUUCGGGGUACACGAGUGGCGAACGGGUGAGUAACACGUGGGUGAUCUGCCCUGCACUUCGGGAUAAGCCUGGGAAACUGGGUCGAAUACCGGAUAGGACCACUGCCUGCAUGGGUGGUGGUGGAAAGCUUUUGCGGUGUGGGAUGGGCCCGCGGCCUACCAGCUUGUUGGUGGGGUGAUGGCCUACCAAGGCGACGACGGGUAGCCGGCCUGAGAGGGUGACCGGCCACACUGGGACUGGGAUACGGCCCAGACUCCUACGGGAGGCAGCAGUGGGGAAUAUUGCACAAUGGGCGCAAGCCUGAUGCAGCGACGCCGCGUGAGGGAUGACGGCCUUCGGGUUGUAAACCUCUUUCAGCACCGACGAAGCGCAAGUGACGGUAGGUGCAGAAGAAGGACCGGCCAACUACGUGCCAGCCGCCGCCGUAA